GCCUAGGUCACCUCACACAGGUCCCAGCGCUCCCCAAACAGCAGGUGCACAAGACACCCGUCACUUAUCACCCUCCCUAAUGGGAUCCGAGGAGAGAAGAAGCUAGCUGUCUUUAUGCUUCAUGCCUGUGUACACAGCCCUGCAUUCUGUACAGCAGCCCAGUUAUGUGGGAGGGAACACAUUAGGAGGCUUUUGAAGCAGCGGACACUGCAGAUGUGACAGUCCAGGCCUGGGUAAACUACGGCCCAAGUAGAUGUUUAUCGACAAGGUGAACGGCCAGCCCGUCCCGCACUACCUGAUCUAUGACAUCAUUAAAUUCAACGGUAGGCCAGUGUGAUUUCAAUAUUCGGCUAUUGUGAAAAGAGAAAGAGAUCAUCUCCCCUAGGGUGGAGAAGAUGAAGACGGGACAGAUCGACAAGACCAAGGAGCCCUUCAGUGUCAGGAACAAGCCAUUCUUCGACAUCCAUGCAGCACGAAAGCUCUGUGUAACAGCAUCCAGCAUCCUGUCACAAAAGAAAACCUCUGAGUUUCUGGACCGCUGUGCCCAGACACAGAGCUCAUGCCCCGUACUGAUCCAAAGAGACCCAACCGGGCCGCACCACACAGCGGGGGUGGGCCGGGCCAGUGUAGCAGUGUAUCUAUGUGGCUUGCAGAGCGAGGUCAUUCAUGGCUACAGCCCGCCCCCUUCCUCCCCCCUCAGAGACACAGACAUUUGAAAAGCCCCUCUUAUCUGUGACCAUUUGAUUAUCAGCCUCUUACAGGCCCUCUUAACUAAAAAUAUUGGAUUGAAUAACUUAUAGAUCCUGUUAGAUAUCCCCAUGUAGUGCCUUAGCUUUAAUUUCAGUGGUUCUUAUUAAAGAUAAAAUACAUAAUGGUGAAUUUAGAUUUUAUUUAUUUUAUAUUUCCCUUUUUUUAACGGUCUCCCAACUAAUCUAUUGAUCAACAACAGAGGAAUUGGUGUUUUAACUACGGCAGCAACUGACUGUUUUUCCUAGCUGUUUAUUUGUAUUUGGAAUGGCGGUAAUCAGAUGGGAAACAACCACCUGACCCCUCCUUUCUAUAUUUUCUCUCCCAGCAGUGAAGUGAAGGAAUGCAUAAGCAAAUAUUUCAAAGGUAUUGUUUAGUAGCAAGAGAGAGCUAUUCCUCUGAGAUAUUCUUCUGACACACAGUGAUACAUCGGGUUGACAACAUGAAUAACCAUGACAAGAUGUCUCCACAGUAUGGGUGUAACAAACACACUCUGCCUCCACAUGACGUCACAUAUCCAUAUCGUCAGACCCCAGAAUAGACUCGGUAACCGCUUGGGAAAUGUCAUGAUGGAAACACGCCUCUCCUUUGUUUUUCUUCUUCGUUUUUUUUCUUCAAUGUGUGUACAGAAUAAUAACAUUUCAACACUUGCUUUAUUUUAACAGAUACCCCAAUUAAGGACUGCCCUAGAUCAUAACAGACUGGUUUACUCCUGAAUUUGUUGUUUGAUUGGAUCCAUUAAAACAAUACAUCAUG
Salvelinus namaycush (lake trout) is the source of this 1503-nucleotide long non-coding RNA. RefSeq lists it as uncharacterized. The transcript is spliced from 5 exons. Lineage: Eukaryota; Metazoa; Chordata; Actinopteri; Salmoniformes; Salmonidae. The record is from RefSeq and is a predicted model, not a curated record.